GCUCCGGUGGCCUAGUGGUUAGAGCGUCCGCCUCGGAUGCGGGGAUUCGUGGAUUCGAACCCUGGUUGAGUCA
Potamilus streckersoni is the source of this 73-nucleotide non-coding RNA. NCBI's taxonomy places the organism in Eukaryota, Metazoa, Mollusca, Bivalvia, Unionida, Unionidae. The record is from the annotation of a GenBank genome assembly.